GGGUUGUGAGGUUAAGCGACUAAGCGUACACGGUGGAUGCCCUGGCAGUCAGAGGCGAUGAAGGACGUGCUAAUCUGCGAUAAGCGUCGGUAAGGUGAUAUGAACCGUUAUAACCGGCGAUUUCCGAAUGGGGAAACCCAGUGUGAUUCGUCACACUAUCAUUAACUGAAUCCAUAGGUUAAUGAGGCGAACCGGGGGAACUGAAACAUCUAAGUACCCCGAGGAAAAGAAAUCAACCGAGAUUCCCCCAGUAGCGGCGAGCGAACGGGGAGCAGCCCAGAGCCUGAAUCAGUGUGUGUGUUAGUGGAAGCGUCUGGAAAGGCGCGCGAUACAGGGUGACAGCCCCGUACACAAAAAUGCACAUGCUGUGAGCUCGAUGAGUAGGGCGGGACACGUGGUAUCCUGUCUGAAUAUGGGGGGACCAUCCUCCAAGGCUAAAUACUCCUGACUGACCGAUAGUGAACCAGUACCGUGAGGGAAAGGCGAAAAG
Molecule: ribosomal RNA, 490 nt
Filed under: Escherichia coli
Lineage: Bacteria; Pseudomonadati; Pseudomonadota; Gammaproteobacteria; Enterobacterales; Enterobacteriaceae
Description: partial 23S ribosomal RNA
Rfam family: Bacterial large subunit ribosomal RNA
Source: RNAcentral